This 484-nucleotide ribosomal RNA is filed under the name uncultured bacterium. Its description in RNAcentral is "partial 16S ribosomal RNA". It matches the Rfam family "Bacterial small subunit ribosomal RNA", at positions 30 to 507 of the family's 1533-position model. The record is from RNAcentral.
AUUGAACGCUGGCGGCAGGCCUAACACAUGCAAGUCGAGCGGAUGAAGGGAGCUUGCUCCUGGAUUCAGCGGCGGACGGGUGAGUAAUGCCUAGGAAUCUGCCUGGUAGUUGGGGAUAACGUCCGGAAACGGGCGCUAAUACCGCAUACGUCCUUAGGUUGAAAGUGGUGGAUCUUCGGACCUCACCCUAUCAGAUGAGCCUAGGUCGGAUUAGCUAGUUGGGGGGGUAAAGUCCUACCAAGGCGACUAUCCGUAACUGGUCUGAGAGGGUGAUCAGUCACACUGGAACAGAAACACGGGCCAGAAUCCUAAGGGAGGGAGCAGGAGGGGAUCUUUGGAAAUGGGCGGAAGGCGUAAGGAGCAACGCCGCGUGGGUGAAGAAAGUCUUCGGAUUUUAAAACUCUUUUAGUUUGGGAGAAGAAGAGUGAAAUUAACUAUUCACUGUUUGACGGUACCCAAUCAGAAAGCCACGGCUAACUUUGUG